Seriola dumerili (greater amberjack) is the source of this 631-nucleotide long non-coding RNA. RefSeq lists it as uncharacterized. Lineage: Eukaryota; Metazoa; Chordata; Actinopteri; Carangiformes; Carangidae. The transcript is spliced from 3 exons. The record is from RefSeq and is a predicted model, not a curated record.
CAGUAACACCCUGUUCUUUAGCUCUGCUCGGAGUCCAGAUGGGAAAAGCCUUGAGGAGGAUGACUCAGAACGGUGCACAGCUCCUCUUGGUAUAUGCAUCUCUUCUUUCUGUCUGUGUCCUUACUGUCAUUGUGCCAUUUCAGAGCUGUCUUGAACAAAGGGCUCCCAGACGCCGUGUGGUUGAAGUGAGGGCAAGGACGUCAUUUGUCAGCCAAGAUGGUGUCAACUUGAAUAGACAGCAAGAUGGCAUCAUGGGAGGAACCUACAGAGUGGCAGGGAAUCUAUGGCUUACUAUACUGAAUGGCGAGCGGUGGUUCAGGCAGACCAGCGAUUUGGCUGUGACACUGUCAGGUGUGUGCCUGUGUGCUUUCUGGACCACAUUCCUCUAUCAUCUCCUAUGACAUACAAUACCAUCAGAGUGAUCCAAUAGCCACAGUAAAAGCCCCAGACAGUACAUACUGUAAAAGCAUACAUUUAGCAGAUGAGUUAAAGCAGUACUCAUGUGACAUAUUUGUGUGUUGGAGGCAUGUGACUCAUUUUAAGACAGGAAGGAGAGCAGUGCUCAUCAGGACAAGAGUGUGCUGCUUUAUUAGAGUUUUGACAAUGUUUCCUUAGUAACCAUUUUCAAUUG